AGAGUUUGAUCAUGGCUCAGGACGAACGCUGGCGGCGUGCCUAAUACAUGCAAGUCGAGCGGGACUCUUCGGAGUCCAGCGGCGGGCGGGUGAGUAACACGUGGGCAACCUGCCUGUAAGACUGGGAUAACACCGGGAAACCGGUGCUAAUACCGGAUAAUCCUUUCCCUCACAUGAGGGAAAGCUGAAAGGCGGUUUCGGCUGUCACUUACAGAUGGGCCCGCGGCGCAUUAGCUAGUUGGUGAGGUAACGGCUCACCAAGGCGACGAUGCGUAGCCGACCUGAGAGGGUGAUCGGCCACACUGGGACUGAGACACGGCCCAGACUCCUACGGGAGGCAGCAGUAGGGAAUCUUCCGCAAUGGACGAAAGUCUGACGGAGCAACGCCGCGUGAGCGAUGAAGGCCUUCGGGUCGUAAAGCUCUGUUGUCAGGGAAGAACAAGUAUCGGAGUAACUGCCGGUACCUUGACGGUACCUGACCAGAAAGCCACGGCUAACUACGUGCCAGCAGCCGCGGUAAUACGUAGGUGGCAAGCGUUGUCCGGAAUUAUUGGGCGUAAAGCGCGCAGGCGGUCCUUUAAGUCUGAUGUGAAAGCCCACGGCUCAACCGUGGAGGGUCAUUGGAAACUGGGGGACUUGAGUGCAGAAGAGGAAAGUGGAAUUCCACGUGUAGCGGUGAAAUGCGUAGAGAUGUGGAGGAACACCAGUGGCGAAGGCGACUUUCUGGUCUGUAACUGACGCUGAGGCGCGAAAGCGUGGGGAGCAAACAGGGAUUAGAUACCCUGGUAGUCCACGCCGUAAACGAUGAGUGCUAAGUGUUAGAGGGUUUCCGCCCUUUAGUGCUGCAGCUAACGCAUUAAGCACUCCGCCUGGGGGAGUACGGGCCGCAGGCUGAAACUCAAAGGAAUUGACGG
This 914-nucleotide ribosomal RNA is filed under the name uncultured bacterium. RNAcentral describes it as "bacterial SSU rRNA". It matches the Rfam family "Bacterial small subunit ribosomal RNA", at positions 8 to 916 of the family's 1533-position model. The record is from RNAcentral.